AUCCAGCUGACGAGUCCCGAAUGGGAUAAAACGUGCGUCGUGGAU
This is a non-coding RNA of Schistosoma rodhaini, 45 nucleotides long. The record is from Rfam. Lineage: Eukaryota; Metazoa; Platyhelminthes; Trematoda; Strigeidida; Schistosomatidae.